UUGCACGCUGGCGGCAGGCCUCACCCCUGCAAGUCGCGCGGAUGAAGGGAGCUUGCUCCUGGAUUCAGCGGCGGACGGGUGAGUAAUGCCUAGGAAUCUGCCUGGUAGUGGGGGAUAACGUCCGGAAACGGGCGCUAAUACCGCAUACGUCCUGAGGGAGAAAGUGGGGGAUCUUCGGACCUCACGCUAUCAGAUGAGCCUAGGUCGGAUUAGCUAGUUGGUGGGGUAAAGGCCUACCAAGGCGACGAUCCGUAACUGGUCUGAGAGGAUGAUCAGUCACACUGGAACUGAGACACGGUCCAGACUCCUACGGGAGGCAGCAGUGGGGAAUAUUGGACAAUGGGCGAAAGCCUGAUCCAGCCAUGCCGCGUGUGUGAAGAAGGUCUUCGGAUUGUAAAGCACUUUAAGUUGGGAGGAAGGGCAGUAAGUUAAUACCUUGCUAUUUUGACGUUACCAACAGAAUAAGCACCGGCUAACUUCGUG
Molecule: ribosomal RNA, 483 nt
Filed under: uncultured bacterium
Lineage: Bacteria
Description: partial 16S ribosomal RNA
Rfam family: Bacterial small subunit ribosomal RNA
Source: RNAcentral